This 248-nucleotide long non-coding RNA is filed under the name Homo sapiens (human). RNAcentral describes it as "HSALNT0023396". Lineage: Eukaryota; Metazoa; Chordata; Mammalia; Primates; Hominidae. The record is from RNAcentral.
GUCCCAUGGCAACAAGGAUCAGAGGCAGAGCUGCUUUCCAUGCCGUGAACUGGGAGCUUCUGGAGAAGGUAGCUGGAGAAGAUUCCCAGAAGCCAGGAAUAUUGGGGACCAUGGGACACCAUGCCAAGAGUGAGCCCUCAUGAAAACUGCACUCUGGGUGCUGACGGCAUUGUCAACGGAAGUUCAUCAAACAUGGUGGACGUUCCUUCUGGUGUAGUUUGACAGAUGCUGGCCAGUGGGAGCUGCAG